UUCUCUUCAGUAAACUCAAUCACACAGGA
Molecule: non-coding RNA, 29 nt
Filed under: Cricetulus griseus (Chinese hamster)
Lineage: Eukaryota; Metazoa; Chordata; Mammalia; Rodentia; Cricetidae
Source: RNAcentral